Molecule: long non-coding RNA, 1846 nt
Organism: Phascolarctos cinereus (koala)
Lineage: Eukaryota; Metazoa; Chordata; Mammalia; Diprotodontia; Phascolarctidae
Source: RefSeq, a predicted model, not a curated record
GGCCAUGGGGUAAGAAAGAGCAAUAGCUCAUUCCACUGUCCUGUCAGUGACCUCAUCUCUGACCCUCAAUCCCUAGAGAGAUUGGGACUGAACCUGUGAUUCUGUUGGUAUGGGGAACUCUGGAAGGAUGAAACCCUCUUCCCAAUGCAGGCUACCCCAUCAAACAGCCCAGAGCCAAAAAUACCCACCAAGAAGAUUGCUGUGCCUGGGCCUUUUCUGCUUGCAAAGAGAGCAGCCUACAAGCUUCCUUGCAUGCAGUAGAAUGUUGUCUGUCUGCCAGUUAAAUGGUUCUGUCUCCACCAACUGAUUUAGGCACCAUUUUCCCAGCUUCACGGAGAAGCAUGUAGCAAUCUCUCUCUGGGAAAGAAGAGAGACAGUGAAAAAGCUCUGGCUGCUAUUCUCCUAAUUUUCUUUCCCUAAUCCCUUCCCCUGUUCAGAGAGAGAUAAUCUUUGUUUAUCUUUCUUGAUCUUUCUGAAUCUCUCUAAUACAUUUCCAUAAAAGCUUUGAUGUUUUUUCCCCCUGACACCAAUUUCCACAUCUUUCUUUUAAAGCGGUAACUUGGAAUUUUUAAAUUUCAUUUUCUUAAGUUAAAGAGCAUCAGAGUGUCGAAAUGGAUACAGCACUGGACCUGGAGGCAGGAAGACCUGAAUUCAAAUCCAACCUCAGAUACUUCCUAGCCCUGUGAUCCUGGGAGUUGCUAAGAAGAGAAUGAGUUGGAAACUCCAUGCCUCAGGUUGGUGCCAUCCAUAAAGCCAAGAUAAUACAUAAACAGCUAAACAGCUAGUGGGACAACUAGGACAGAAAUGGCAGAAAACGUGACAGCCAAGAGAAGAAGCAAGAAUGGAGAGAACCCUGGAUAAUGGCACCGAGAUACCAUCGUGAAUGUUAUUCCCUGGCUGUUAUACAUGACUGGGAGACCCCAGUUGGUUAUGUCCUAUGAGAACCCAUAUCCUCUGUACCUCCUGAAGAGAAAUAUAUGGGGAAGAAUGUCUACAUAGGGGAGCCAGCAGGAUCCUACAGUAACUAGAUAGCCAAAACCUCAUUUGUGGCUAAUCCUUCAUUCUCACUGCAGCAGGGGGAAGGAAAAGUUUGAGUCCACACCUAAACUGUUUCUUUUCUUGAACUCCUAGGCUUGGGGACGUGUUCAGACUGCUUUCAGUUGCCUAGGUUUGGGAACAUCUGUCCUUGUGCCAUCUGUACUGUAGUUUUAAAAAUACAGUUAACUUUAUUUCUUUUGUUUUACUGGUCAUGAGCAAAUUCAUGCUUAUGCAGUCAAUUCAUGCUUGCGUGAACUGACUCAAUGAUGCCAUGCUCAUAUGAUUUGAGUCUAUUGAAAUAUAGCAUGGAAGGGAAGAGGGUGGAGUCUCCUAGCCAGGGGCUGAAUCAAGAAACUAAUUGUAUAAAUCCAUGCAGAUCACAGCCGUAGAUUAAUGAGAUGAUGAUGGCCAUCUCAUAAAGUUUACAGCAAAAGCUCAGGACCUCAGAUUGCCAGAAACUCCCAGGGGAAGACAAUUUUUAAACCAAGGCUAGGGUCCACAAAGUCCUUGGCUUAGCUCCACUUACUAGCCCUGUAUCUACUUCCCCCCCCCCCGUUUCCCCCCCACACACAUACCAUUCCCAUUCAAUUAUAAUGGAUAAUUGAGUUUUGAUUGCAUCAUGAUUUCAGUUAUUCUUUUUGGAAGCCAGUGAUGUUAGAUUUCCUAAUCUGUGUUAAAAUACCCCAUUGCUAAGCUGUUCACAAAGGGAAUUAAACAUGUCCUUUGAGCUGUCUCAUGCUUGUUCAUAGAGGCUCCUUUUUUCUCCGUUAGCCUGGCUUACAUUGUCUGUAGCACCUCUUAUACACUC